Non-coding RNA from Vicugna pacos (alpaca), 1093 nucleotides. The record is from RefSeq and is a predicted model, not a curated record. NCBI's taxonomy places the organism in Eukaryota, Metazoa, Chordata, Mammalia, Artiodactyla, Camelidae.
GUAAGUCGUCAAUAUGGGAGUGCUGCUCUGCUCACUGUAAAAAUGAAGGCAAGUUUCCACAUCACCGCCUCUUUAACAACAGCAGAGUUCCUUGUCUGAGUGAUUUUUUGGGAGAAUGCGCAAGACGACUUCCCAAGGGUCAUCCUUCCAGGAAACCUGUAGCUCGAAAUGGGUUCAGGGAUGCCUCGGACACUCCCACGAAUGGAGAGGAACCCUGGCAGUUUCGGAAGAACUGGAGGCACAAGCACUCUGACCCCGGGAGAACACCGCCAGGCUAGGGAGCUCGGGCGGGUGGGACCGGCCCAGACCCCGGCGGGCGCCCACCCCCGCCGCCCCCGCCCCGCGGCCCCGGCUCCCGGCCGCGCCCCGCCGCGCUCCGAGCCCCCAGUGCACCGCCGGGAGCCUCGCCGACACGGGGUGGGGAGGAGACGGUUGCCAGCGUCGCCGCCUCCCUACCUGUCCUGCCAGGGGCUCCGCGCGGGGCUCCGCGCCGGGCUCCGGCCCCACCGGCGACCGACGCCCAGGCCCGAGCGGCGGGCCCGCCCCGCCCGCGUGGGCUGCCCGACGCGCCGCCCGACACCCGCAGGCCCCCCGCCCCGGGCCCUCUCGCCGCUGAGGCCCAGAGGCGCGCUGGGUCCGGGGGACACGCUGCUCUUCCCCGAAGACCAGCCCGGGUUAAAAGCUGCCCCCGGACGCGGCCGUGGAGACAGCGAUCAGGCACAAAGCUGGACACCUGGGGCGAAGCGCGCGCGUGCGCACUGCGCCUGGGAACCCGAUUAGGCCCAGAGGAGGGCGGCGCGCGGCGGCCGGCGCGCUCCCCAGGCGGGUGCGGACGGCGCAGAGGCGCCGGGGGGCUCCCUUGCGUUGGGCAGGUGGGUCCCCCAGAGGGUCGCUGAGCUUUUCAGUGCUAAGCAGCUAAUGAAAACAAUAGUGAUAAACCGUAUUUCGUCAGGUAGCUUAAGGAGAAGAUUAAAUUUUGCUGCUGCUCUAUAUUGCCCAUCGUAUGAGGAUACAGGCAUUCUCACGCCCUUAUGGUGGAAAUGUAAAAUAAUGCAAAUUUACAUAAUGACAUUUUGGCAUUCUUUAAUUAAAA